CCUACGGGCGGCAGCAGUGGGGAAUAUUGCACAAUGGGGGAAACCCUGAUGCAGCGACGCCGCGUGAGUGAAGAAGGAUUUCGGUAUGUAAAGCUCUAUCAGCAGGGAAGAAAAGGACGGUACCUGAGUAAGAAGCCCCGGCUAACUACGUGCCAGCAGCCGCGGUAAUACGUAGGGGGCAAGCGUUAUCCGGAUUUACUGGGUGUAAAGGGAGCGUAGACGGCAGCACAAGUCUGGAGUGAAAUGCCGGGGCUUAACCCCGGAACUGCUUUGGAAACUGUGCAGCUAGAGUGCAGGAGAGGUAAGUGGCAUUCCUAGUGUAGCGGUGAAAUGCGUAGAUAUUAGGCGGAACACCAGUGGCGAAGGCGGCUUACUGGACUGUCACUGACGUUGAGGCUCGAAAGCGUGGGGAGCAAACAGGAUUAGAUACCCUAGUAGUC
This 440-nucleotide ribosomal RNA is filed under the name uncultured bacterium. Its description in RNAcentral is "partial 16S ribosomal RNA". It matches the Rfam family "Bacterial small subunit ribosomal RNA", at positions 338 to 795 of the family's 1533-position model. The record is from RNAcentral.